This 265-nucleotide signal recognition particle RNA is filed under the name Candidatus Avoscillospira stercorigallinarum. RNAcentral describes it as "signal recognition particle sRNA large type". It matches the Rfam family "Bacterial large signal recognition particle RNA". From Rfam's summary of the family: The signal recognition particle (SRP) is a universally conserved ribonucleoprotein involved in the co-translational targeting of proteins to membranes. Archaeal SRP consists of a 7S RNA and homologues of the eukaryotic SRP19 and SRP54 proteins. In most bacteria, the SRP consists of a 4.5S RNA and the Ffh protein (a homologue of the eukaryotic SRP54 protein). The record is from RNAcentral. Lineage: Bacteria; Bacillati; Bacillota; Clostridia; Eubacteriales; Oscillospiraceae.
CUGCACUAGUCGGGGAGAUAGCGGUGCCCUGUAACCCGCAAUCCGCUACAGCGGGGAUGAACUCCCGACGGAGGGUGCACACUGUGUCGUCUGACCCCAAUAAGUGGUGUUGAGGAUUCGGUCUCGCGCAACGAGGUCCCGUGAACCAUGUCAGGCGGGGAACCGAGCAGCAUUAAGCGGAUCGCCUCGUGUGCCGCGAGGGCGCCGUGUCUGAGCUGGCUGUUGGGGUAACGGGUGGAGUGUGCAUUCGAUGGAGGGUGUGCAG